RNAcentral lists this ribosomal RNA (501 nucleotides) under Malacobdella siliquae. RNAcentral's name for it is "partial 16S ribosomal RNA". It matches the Rfam family "Bacterial large subunit ribosomal RNA", at positions 1811 to 2632 of the family's 2925-position model. Lineage: Eukaryota; Metazoa; Nemertea; Enopla; Bdellonemertea; Malacobdellidae. The record is from RNAcentral.
AAACAUAGUUUUUUGUUGUUUUAUAAAAAAUAUUUUCUGCUCAGUGGUUGUUAAAUAGCCGCGGUAAUUUGACCGUGCAAAGGUAGCAUAAUCAUUUGUCUUAUAAUUGAGGGCUGGAAUGAAUGGGAGAACAAGAUUUUUUCUUUAUUAGGGAGAGUUAAAGAAUUUUAUUUUUUAGUGAAGAAGCUAAAAUUUUUUUAUGGGACAAGAAGACCCUUUUGAGCUUUAUUAACUUUUUUUUUAUUAAUCCAAGUUAAUUUGGUUGGGGCAACCAAGGAAGAGUUAUUUUCCUUUAUUUAUUUAGAUCUAGGGUUUCUAAUUAAUGGAAUAAGUUACCAAAGGGAUAACAGCGUAAUUUUUUUUGUGAGUUCUUAUUAAAAAGAAAGAUUGCGACCUCGAUGUUGACUUAUAAUUACCUCUUGGUGUAGCAGCUAAAAGGGUGGGUCUGUUCGACCUUUAAAGUUUUACGUGAGUUGAGUUCAAACCGGCGUGAGCCAGGUU